Molecule: transfer RNA, 73 nt
Filed under: Anaerolineaceae bacterium
Lineage: Bacteria; Bacillati; Chloroflexota; Anaerolineae; Anaerolineales; Anaerolineaceae
Description: tRNA-Cys
Rfam family: tRNA
About the family: Transfer RNA (tRNA) molecules are approximately 80 nucleotides in length. Their secondary structure includes four short double-helical elements and three loops (D, anti-codon, and T loops).
Source: RNAcentral
GGCGACGUGGCCAAGUUGGCUAAGGCAAGGCUCUGCAAAAGCUUGAUCAUGGGUUCGAAUCCCAUCGUCGCCU